AUGCCUUAAACUAAUGAGUAAGGAAAAUAACGAUUCGGGGUGACGCCCGGAUCCUCGCUCAUACAUGCGAGAGGAAUUUUUGAACGGGUUCAGGUUGCUCCGAGGUGACCCGCCUACUUUGUGGGAUGCCUUUGUGUUGUGAUCUACCCG
Erpetoichthys calabaricus (reedfish) is the source of this 150-nucleotide small nuclear RNA. Its record names the gene U12. It matches the Rfam family "U12 minor spliceosomal RNA". Rfam says of the family: Although the U12 sequence is very divergent from that of U2, the two are functionally analogous. Lineage: Eukaryota; Metazoa; Chordata; Cladistia; Polypteriformes; Polypteridae. The record is from Ensembl.